This 391-nucleotide unclassified non-coding RNA is filed under the name soil metagenome. RNAcentral describes it as "partial contains 5.8S ribosomal RNA, internal transcribed spacer 2, and large subunit ribosomal RNA". The stretch from base 1 to 122 matches the Rfam family "5.8S ribosomal RNA", at positions 35 to 154 of the family's 154-position model. The record is from RNAcentral.
GAUGAAGAACGUAGCGAAAUGCGAUACUUGGUGUGAAUUGCAGAAUCCCGUGAACCAUCGAGUCUUUGAACGCAAGUUGCGCCCGAAGCCAUUAGGCCGAGGGCACGCCUGCCUGGGCGUCACACGUCGUUGCCCCCCCAUCUACUCCUUCGGGAUUGCGGGGGGCGGAUGAUGGCCUCCCGUGUGCCUCGUCGCGCGGUUGGCCUAAAUGCCAAGUCCUCGGCGACGCACGCCACGACAAUCGGUGGUUGCGAAACCUCGGUUGCCCGUCGUGUGCGGUCGUCGCGCAUCGAGGGCUCGAAAAAAUUGCCGGGCUUCGGCUCGACUUUCAACGCGACCCCAGGUCAGGCGGGGUUACCCGCUGAAUUUAAGCAUAUCAAUAAGCGGAGGA